RNAcentral lists this unclassified non-coding RNA (338 nucleotides) under soil metagenome. RNAcentral describes it as "partial contains 5.8S ribosomal RNA, internal transcribed spacer 2, and large subunit ribosomal RNA". The stretch from base 1 to 121 matches the Rfam family "5.8S ribosomal RNA", at positions 35 to 154 of the family's 154-position model. The record is from RNAcentral.
GAUGAAGAACGCAGCGAAAUGCGAUAAGUAAUGCGAAUUGCAGAAUUCCAGUGAGUCAUCGAAUCUUUGAACGCACAUUGCGCCCCUUGGUAUUCCAUGGGGCAUGCCUGUUCGAGCGUCAUUUGUACCUUCAAGCUCUGCUUGGUGUUGGGUGUUUGUCUCGCCUCUGCGUGUAGACUCGCCUCAAAACAAUUGGCAGCCGGCGUAUUGAUUUCGGAGCGCAGUACAUCUCGCGCUUUGCACUCAUAACGACGACGUCCAAAAGUACAUUUUUACACUCUUGACCUCGGAUCAGGUAGGGAUACCCGCUGAACUUAAGCAUAUCAAUAAGCGGAGGA